RNAcentral lists this long non-coding RNA (3733 nucleotides) under Homalodisca vitripennis (glassy-winged sharpshooter). Its description in RNAcentral is "uncharacterized LOC124354489". The record is from RNAcentral. Lineage: Eukaryota; Metazoa; Arthropoda; Insecta; Hemiptera; Cicadellidae.
UCAAGUAGGACAGAUUUUAGCAUUGGAUUGGAUGCAACAUUUUCUCAAAGACUGAUGACAAUCAUUUUCUCAUCAGUCACUGAUUCGUUGAUAGUUAAUCUAUAACAUCUGGAAAGUGAUUAAGAGAGGGAAUCUGAACACCUAAUUUUCUUCAGGUGAUGAAAAAACAAACGGCCGUCAAAUAUGAAAUGUUUGAAAUAACCAAAAUCUUGUCAGUGUAUUCCUAUUAUUUUAUUUUACCGAUUGACUUAGUAUGAAAUACAUCAUUAUAUUGCAUUAAUUUUUUGUUGCGUCGUAACAAACAAUGAACUGCCCUCUGUUGAAAGUCUAUGGGCCAAAUCGAAUUCUUCGAAGCACAACUCCUCUCUGCCGAAUGACCUAUAGUUCUAAUGAUACAACUCAAAGCCCACCAACCAGUCAUACCACACAGAUACCAGAGGAACCGACCACCUGCUGCAUGUCUGGUUGUGCCAACUGUGUCUGGAUUGAAUACGCCAACCAAUUAUGCAAAAUAUUUGAUGAUGGAGGUGAAAAAUCCAAAGAAAUUGUAUUAUCCAAAGUUACUGAUCCUAAUAUGAGGGCUUUCUUGCUCAUGGAAUUAAAAGCCUUGGAGAAAUCAACAAGCAAGACCAGUUAGUGAUACAUUAAUAGAUAGUUAUGUUGUGAUCUUUGUUUACUGCCUUGGUUUUAAUCAAUAGGUUGUAAAAUGUGUACCUGACAGUUAUAUAAGUAAUUUAGUUACUUUCUUUAGUAAUGUUACCUUGUGAUACUUUUAAGUAACUACUUUUUUCUUUUUUUUUAAAGGAGAGGCCGAUCCCCUUUUAAGCCUUAUUCUGUCCAUCCUCAUGGGCCACUGGCCUGUGCGAGGAUCUUGUCAAACGGAAUAAGGGGGAGAGUCAAUAUCGAUUAACGGAAUAAGGGGGAGAGUCAAUAUCGAUUGUACUGAUAAAAAGUGCUUCAGUCACAGACAGGAUCUGAACCUGCGCUAUCUCCAACUCAGACCCAAAGUCCAAUGUCUUAGUCCGCUUGGCCAUUGGCACUCCCAAUACCACUUAAUCUGAGCUUGAAUAUGAAGAUGCCAGCAAUAAUUAAAAUUCAUCCUUAUUUUAUUAUGUUAGUUCUUUAACUGAAUGUUUGAAGUUAUCAGAAGGAUUUAUUUUAGUAAGAAAUUUUCUUACACUCUUCAUGCAAAUUUAUUACACCCUUAAAUGUGCAUGCCUUUUUGACAAAAUAUAUGGCAAAUAUUUUACGUAUUUUUACAAUGCACUGUAUGUAAUGGGUUUCACUCAUGUCAUAAUCAUAAUCACAUUAAAAAUCAAGUCAAAGUAUUUAAUACUUCUACGAAAUUUUAAAACAAUUAAGAGAAGCAUACCAUUUAGUAUUUCAUUUUUUUAUAUGUACCUAUUUAUUAUUUUUGCUUAAUUAUCUAUUUCUUAAUCGUUUAAGUUUAAUAGUAGCCUACAUACUGUAACAAAGUUUGUUUACAAUAUGUUCACCUUUUUAUUAUUGUUUAAAAAAAUUGAAAUGUAAAUGUUUAGCUGCAGUCCACCUUUCUCUUACAUCUGUUGCAGACUUUACUCAUGAAAUCUGGAGUCAUGUUUGUCUAAAAGUAUAAAAAAAUAGUUGGCAACGAAGAACAAAGAAGCUCAAAACGGGCUCUGUACUGUUUCAACAUCAUACACACCUAGUCUACAAAAUAUAGUGCAAUCUAGGAGAACAGAUAUUCUCAUUGUCUCAUCAGUGCACAAUUCACCUCAGAUUUCAGAUGCUGCACAUAAGAGGAACGUAAAUUGGAGCUAAACUCAAUAUUCACAUUAUUGAAUCAACCCUUCCCGGCAUAGCUGCAUUAUGUGUAAAAUUUUAAAUAUAUUUCAUAUAGAUUGAACGCAUGAAGUCAUAAACAAAAGUUGUUUACCAAAUAAUAUACUACUAUUUGGUCAGAAAGUGAAGAGUUGGGGGGAUACUAGCAUUAUUUUGCAUGAUUAUAGCCCAGUUCAGUGCAUAUGACAUUUUUGUUGGAAAGAUUGAUUAGUUCAGCAAUACUGGUUAAUAAAACGAAUAAUGCAUUGAAAACUUCUCCGGUAGGAAUGUACAUGCGUUUUAUAUGACAAAACUUGAGUUGCAGUAGUAACUCAUAAUCCUUUAAAAAAAUUUAUCUUUUAUAGCCAUGCGUUUAUAUUAUUAAUUUUUACUUUAUCAGCAUGUGGUGAUUUACAAGUUAAUUAAUUUUUUUAUAAAUUACUAAACAAUUUAAAAGAGGAAAGAAGAUAAAACUUUAAUAAACAAUAAUUGCAGUACACAUAACUGGUUUACUCUUACAUUCUAAAUGAGGGAAUCUGUACAUAAUGUUAAUAAAACAUUGCAUGGUCAAUUUAAACUAUGCCACAAGUAUAAUUUCUUGUUGGUAAUAGAAACAUUGCAGUGUAUUACAAGCAUGCAAAUAAGCUGAAUAUACAAACUAUUUUCCACUUUUGUUGAGCUAUAUGUGAAGGAAAGUGAUAUUAACAGUUAAUUUUAAUCAUUAUAAUCUAACUAUGCCUCUCAGUAAAACCCCUUUUUGUUUAAUUUCAAGUUUACAAAAACAGAAGGACAAGGAUCAUUAAAAAUAUUGAUUAUACCUGUUGAUGAGUAUUGGGAAGUGACCCCAAAAGAGUGUAGGCAUGCUGACUGACAUGUCAUAGUCGACUUUUCGUGUAAAAUUUGAGGUGCUUGUAUCAUUCUAUCCAUAGAAGUUGCAACUAUUCUUGGUACGUGAAAAUUGUAAGCAAGCACCUGUUACUGAAUGGUGCCAAUUUCUAGGGACAUUUCAAUGGACUGUAUGACUUCCUAUUUUCACAGGGUUUUCUCCUGAAUUUAUUCAUAAAAAGUAAUUUUUAUCAUACGAAAAAAGGAUACUAAUUGGGACUUUCUUGGUAAAAUUGUUGAUAUUAACAGUUAUUAUGUAUUAAAUAAAACUAAAUUUAAGAAAUAGCAAAAAUUGGACGACUUCAUUUCCUUAACCUUUUAGGGUCAGACAAUAUCUGGUAGGUACACUCCAUUGCGUCAGUUUUCAGUGGUGCCAGCACACCUGCACUCAAUAGGUUAAUCUGCUAUUUUACAGACUUUCAAAGAUAAAUCUCAGUGUGUGAAAUAAACAUAAUUUGCUUAGGCAGUAUAUUUAAUAGGACUUCACAAUAUAUUUAGUAGGCAAGUGUAGGAGGAAUAGAUGAGCUUACUUAUCCGUCCUUCUAUACCUUCUACCUAAAACAGAUCUAUAUAUGCAUGAAUAUACAUAUUAUUUAUUGGUACAGUACUUAAUUUCUUUAUAAAUAUUAGUUGUAUUCUUUUGAUGUUAAUUUAGUUGUUAGUUUGUGUGGUGAAUGAUUUUGAGCAAAUACCCACGUUAAACUAUUAAAUUUGUUUACUGCUUUAUAAACUAAUAGUAUAUUCUAUUAACAAUUAUUUGUUACAGUACAACACAAACUAUCAAAAGUAUUAAGAAAUCUGAAAGUGUUGUAAUUUAGUAAUAAAUUAUAAGUUAUAGCUACAGUCAAAAAAAUAUAUAUUAAUUUAAUUACAUAAUUAGAUUCCAAUAUUCAUAUUUGAAAUUUGUUAGAAAAUACAUAAAUUAGUUUUAAAUUUAAACAGUAUUAGUAUAUUUAAAAAUAUUGAUAAAAGUAUUUUUCCUUUAUUCUAAUGUUCUUUUACCAAGAAGUCUUGUAGUUCGGAAGAUAAUAUAUAUUUUCAUAUUUAU